AAGGGGAAAACAUUGGUACCUUCAGGCCAAGUAAUUUUAAAAAUCAUAUCGUCACAGUGACAGUCCAAUCAAUUAAGCCAUCCAGAAGUAUUAUCUAUCCAAUUUGUUCCAAAUUUUCAAAACACUGAUCUAAUCACCACAUCACGUCACGAUGGACGACAAGAUGGACACUAAAGACGCCAAUGCGAAGCUACUUGUCGAAACUUCAGUAGAAAUCAAAGAGUUGCCUUGGGAGAUGAAAAAUUUCACAAAGAUUGCCACCCUUAAAGAUUCCUUUACAAAUUUGAGUCACUCCCUCGAUGCCGGACAAAGUAUUGGACU
Molecule: long non-coding RNA, 321 nt
Organism: Folsomia candida
Lineage: Eukaryota; Metazoa; Arthropoda; Collembola; Entomobryomorpha; Isotomidae
Exons: 3
Source: RefSeq, a predicted model, not a curated record